This 492-nucleotide ribosomal RNA is filed under the name uncultured bacterium. Its description in RNAcentral is "partial 16S ribosomal RNA". It matches the Rfam family "Bacterial small subunit ribosomal RNA", at positions 29 to 507 of the family's 1533-position model. The record is from RNAcentral.
AGUGAACGCUGGCGGUAGGCCUAACACAUGCAAGUCGAACGGCAGCACAGUAAGAGCUUGCUCUUACGGGUGGCGAGUGGCGGACGGGUGAGGAAUACAUCGGAAUCUACUUUUUCGUGGGGGAUAACGUAGGGAAACUUACGCUAAUACCGCAUACGACCUACGGGUGAAAGCAGGGGAUCUUCGGACCUUGCGCGAUUGAAUGAGCCGAUGUCGGAUUAGCUAGUUGGCGGGGGAAAGGCCCACCAAGGCGACGAUCCGUAGCUGGUCUGAGAGGAUGAUCAGCCACACUGGAACUGAGACACGGUCCAGACUCCUACGGGAGGCAGCAGUGGGGAAUAUUGGACAAUGGGCGCAAGCCUGAUCCAGCCAUACCGCGUGGGUGAAGAAGGCCUUCGGGUUGUAAAGCCCAUUUGUUGGGAAAGAAAAGCAGCAGGUUAAUACCCCGCUGUUCUGACGGUACCCAAAGAAUAAGCACCGGCUAACUUCGUG